GUCUCCGUGGCGCAAUUGGUUAGCGCGUUCGACUGUUACUUCCACCAAUCCCGGAUGGCUGCUAUCGAGAGGUUGACAGUUCAAUCCUGUCCGGGGACG
Puccinia graminis f. sp. tritici is the source of this 99-nucleotide transfer RNA. It matches the Rfam family "tRNA". Rfam says of the family: Transfer RNA (tRNA) molecules are approximately 80 nucleotides in length. Their secondary structure includes four short double-helical elements and three loops (D, anti-codon, and T loops). Lineage: Eukaryota; Fungi; Basidiomycota; Pucciniomycetes; Pucciniales; Pucciniaceae. The record is from Rfam.